GACGAACGCUGGCGGUGUGCUUAACACAUGCAAGUCGAACGGAAAGGCCCUGCUUUUGUGGGGUGCUCGAGUGGCGAACGGGUGAGUAACACGUGAGUAACCUGCCCUUGACUUUGAGAUAACUUCAGGAAACUGGGGCUAAUACCGGAUAGGAGCUCCUGCUGCAUGGUGGGGGUUGGAAAGUUUCGGCGGUUGGGGAUGGACUCGCGGCUUAUCAGCUUGUUGGUGGGGUAGUGGCUUACCAAGGCUUUGACGGGUAGCCGGCCUGAGAGGGUGACCGGCCACAUUGGGACUGAGAUACGGCCCAGACUCCUACGGGAGGCAGCAGUGGGGAAUAUUGCACAAUGGGCGGAAGCCUGAUGCAGCAACGCCGCGUGCGGGAUGACGGCCUUCGGGUUGUAAACCGCUUUCGCCUGUGACGAAGCGUGAGUGACGGUAAUGGGUAAAGAAGCACCGGCUAACUACGU
This 467-nucleotide ribosomal RNA is filed under the name uncultured bacterium. RNAcentral's name for it is "partial 16S ribosomal RNA". It matches the Rfam family "Bacterial small subunit ribosomal RNA", at positions 28 to 506 of the family's 1533-position model. The record is from RNAcentral.